Molecule: long non-coding RNA, 421 nt
Filed under: Bos taurus (domestic cattle)
Lineage: Eukaryota; Metazoa; Chordata; Mammalia; Artiodactyla; Bovidae
Description: long non-coding RNA NONBTAT000329
Source: RNAcentral
GAAGGGAAAAAUCUGUAACAAAAAUGUUACUGAUAUUUUAUAUGUAGUUUUUUGAAACUCAAAAACCUUCGAGAACUCGCUCAACUGAUAAAUAUUUACUGAGCCAAUUCAUACCUAUAUUCCUUUCAAAACUUUGAAGUUAAAAUGUAAUUAGCAGCAACCACAAAAGACUUUGCAGCAGCAAGCCUACUAUUGUAAAUACCUUUUGAUUCAAGAUAAAGUAGUUUUUUUACCUCCACUGUUGACACAAAUGAAUUACUAUUUUAGUUUUAAAUGUUAGGUUUGAAAAUCAGAGAAAGCUUCAAAUCUUUUCAGAGACGACAUAAUUCAGGAUCAUCCUAUGUACCUUAAUAUUAAGAGAAAUCUCAAAUAUUGGGCAUCUUCUUAUAGUCUGUCUAGAAGUUUGGGUUUGAUAAAUUGG